UCUUCCGCUGCAGGGAGAUGAGGGGAGAGGAGACCAGCCUCAACCCAGUGCCAGGCCACAAGGCUCAACCGAGACUCUUCAACAUCCAAGCACUCCGGGGGAGUAGCGUGAAAAGGGCAGCCUGAGCCAGGAUAGCCUGCUUCCAGAUCCCCCACCUAAGUGAAGGAAUGUGCAGAAAUCCAAGGACACAGGUUGGGGGAGCAGAAGGGUGAUUCAUACUUGCUGGGAAAUGGAGUAGCCAAUGACGAUGUUGCCCUCUGGGACGUCCCAGGACACAGUGGCCGAGUUGGCUCUGAGUUGUCUGGGUAUGAGACAGCUGUGCCAAUCACAGAGAAGUCAAAUCCACUGACCCGGGACCUAGACAAAGCAGAUACUGAGAAAAUUGUUCGAAUGCUGGGGCAAUGUGAUGCUGAGAUCUUCCAGGAGGAAGGGCAAGCUCUGCCCACAUACCAGAGGCUCUACAAAGAAUCCAUUCUGACCACCAUGGUACACGUGGCCGGGAAAGUUCAGGAAGUGCUGAAGGUGUCCUUUAAUCAGCUGAUGAAAGGUCUGGGACAGAAACCUCUUUACACCUACCUCAUUGCAGGGGGUGACAGGUAAGCCAAGUUAGGCUGUGAAUAUUUUGUUUGGCCUGAAUAGCGCUUCUUAGAAAUUGAGCUGAAUGCCUUUGGGCAGAGAUUGAGUCCAGCUUGCCUUAGUCCCCCAUUCCUUAUUGCCUUACACUUGGUCCACUUUACAUACUUAUGUCACCUGACCGGCUGUUGCAGGUAUUUGGGUUAUUUGGGUUUUUCAACUCUGUGGAGUGUCUAUCAUGGUGCCCAACAAACAGUGGGCGCUCAUUCAAUGAUAGUUUUCCCUUUAUUCCCAUCUCUUAAUGUAGCCUGCCCUAAUAAACCAUAGGCUUCUUCUUCCCAACCAGUGCCACUGACCUCGCGUCUGUCCUCUUCGGUCUGUGGUGGCCUCUAGGGAGGGGAUGGAAGAUAGUGCCUUGCACGGGAUCGAGGAACUGAAGAAGGUCUGUGCUUCCCACUGAUACUUGACCAGAGACCUCUAUCUGUUCCUUCUCAUGGGGACAUAAAAGCCCCAGCAUUCAGCCAAAGCCUAUUCCCUCCCUCCCCUGUUCCUGGCCCUGAUACCCUCACACACUACGUUUGUGCCUGGAAUACUCCCAGUUACACUGCGUUGUCCAUCCUCCUCUCCCAAGUGACUGUCGGGAAGAAGAGGGUGAUUGUCGUUGGCAUUUCUGUGGGACUCUCUGUGAGUAGAAAGAUGGGUUGAGUGGAUGAAUUUUAGAGAGAAGAAGUGAGUGGGAAUGGAAUAGCAUGGAAGAGAGAUCAAUGAGGUGGGUGCUAGAAAACAGGAAGUUUGCUCAAGGAAUUUUGGUUUUCAUUUCACUAACUUGAAUUGAUUUGUAUGAAUGUGGGAAGAUGGGGAGGGAUUGUAUUUAAAUCAAUCAGCAACCAAGAGAUAUGGACUGGUCCAUGGGUAAGCAAAGUAUACCGGCUGGCCAAUGCAGCCAGCUGCCUGUUUUAAAAAAAAAUUUUUUUUUUUUGAGACAGAGUCUCGCUCUGUCACCCAGGCUGCAGUCCAAUGGUGUGAUCUCAUCUCGCUGCAGCCUCCACCUCCCAUGCUCAGAUGUGGUUCUGUGCAUGAGCUGCCUGGGGAAUGUUACAAAAAAAUAGAGAAGAUUCUUAGUUCCUUGUGAGAGGUCUGGUUUUGUAGGUUUGGAGUAAGGCCCUGAAGUAUCUAUUUUUUGAAAGCAUCCCUGGAGAUUCUGAUGCACAGCCAGGUUUGGGAAACUCUGCUAAAUAAACCAUUGGAGUGGGCCACCUGACAAAGCUGAGGGCUUCCUGACACGAGAGGGAUGCGGCAGAGGCUUGUUGAUGAUUUUAGAGCAGCUUUUUGUAUUUAGCGGUGGUCUUGGAAAGGGGGACAAGAGGGUUUUUUGAAGGUGCUUUUCCAUCUCCCAGGUUCUAGGCUGUAUAACUCAUGUGAAGGUGUAAAUGAAUCUGAAAUAUCCUAACUGAUCCUUUUCAUGGAGGGCCCUCCUUCACCAAAAAUGUAUCUGCUGCAGUGGAUGCUAUGUCAGGCCCUAUGACUAAGUGAAAUGAAGAAUUUCAAACAGUGUAGGCGUGGAGAUCUUCCAGUUGUUCCUUAAAUCAGUGGCUCCCAAACUUGGCUGAUUUUCAGUCAUCUGGGAAGCUUUCUAAAAAUACGAAUUUUGGGCUCCACUCCAUAACAACUGAAUCUGAAUCUUAGGGUGGAUGUGGUACCCAGAAAUGGAUAGUUAUUAAAAAACAAAACUCCCCAGAUGAUUUGGAUGCCCAGCUGUGUUUAGGAAUCUAGAUGUUAAACCAUGCAAUAUGAACCCUGUCUCUGGUUUCUGCUUUGGUCUCCUCUUUCUUAGAUCUCUAGCAAGUUUCAGAAAUAGUUUGAGGACAAAUGACAGAAGACAGUUUACACAACGAGCAUGAAAUAUGUAAAACUCGUCUGCCCUGGAAGUGAUACAAAAAUAGUUCAAGAAGGGAUAAAAUGUUUGCAGGAAGGGAUGAUAAGGUGAAAUUUGAGGUACCAUGAAAUGCACCCCAAUGAAAUGUAAAUUUUGGGUGCUUUUACAUUUCAUUGCCAUGUACAGAGGUCACAGUCUUGGAGGUCCUGCCAUAAUGGGCGAUUCACAAAUUAUCCCCUAGCAAAGCCAUUAGAAAUCAACUAAAGAAGAUCCUCAUUCAUUGAGAUUCCAUGAUUUGUAACUAAGCAGAUAACAAGUCUGCCUCAUUAACACAUUCAUUUGUUCCUGAUUAAUUCAUUCAAGGAACGUUUGACAACCGUGAGGUGCUACACCUACCUUGCAGCUUGGUUCCCUCACCAUCAUCCCUCCCUCCAUUACUAGGGGUUCACUCUUUGGAGGGAUUUCCAGAAUGUAUUUCCAUGAAUGGCAAGGGCUUCUGAUGAACCUUAAGAUGGAAAAUAAGGUGGCAACUUUGACAUUUGAAUGACAGGCAUUCCCUAAGGGGCCUGCAGAGGGCGAGGUUUUUGUGGCCAUGGCAUUGGGGCUUAUGCAAGACAGUCUGGGUCUCAGGCUGGAACUUUAAACUUGAGUGUUGGCUUUGCUCUGGGCUUGAGGUGCUGAAUGUUUUAUUAACCCCCGUCCUUGGGGUUCAGGGACACAGUGCCUCUAAAAGCUCCAAAGCAUACGUUUAUGUGAAGUUGUCGACCUCUGACCUCAAUCCCAAAGCAGUCCUUGAUCAUGACUCCCAGCUGAGGCCCUUCUUUGAAAUUCUCAUAGACAAUCUCCCCACCUUGUGUCACUCUGGACCCCAGAAAUGACCCCAUUGAAGACUGGAGUUCAACAUUCCGACAAGUGGCAGAGCGGAUGCAGAAAAUGCAGCAGAAACAGAAAGCUUUUGUGCUCAAUCCUGCCAUCGGGGUAGGGCUUCUCCUUUUCCUAUGUUCUCCAACCCCCCAACACCUGGGAACUGCUUGCCACUUCCUUGGGGCCUCUGAUUUUAGGUUCUUUUACAUCUUGUUUAAAUUCCUGAGGCAUUGUGAGUCAGCUAAGAUGUUAUAAACCAAAUCCUAUUUUCCCAUUUACUUUUUCACCUUAAGAUAUUUCAUCUUCAUUCUUAUCCUGCCUCUCAAAUCCGUAAUCAUUAAACCCUUUAGUGAUCUGGGGCAGUUCCUGUUUAAAGAAGCUCUUUGCCAUCUAUGUAUAGACAGCGUUGAAUAGCCACAGUUAUGUCUGUCUGUCUUACAUAUUUAAAUUUUAAAUAUGGGCUUUAAAAAAUGGGGUACAGUUUUGUUUCAUUCUGCCUCCAAAUCCUCUCCAAAAUUGGCUGGCCCUUCUUAGCUUGAAAGCUGUUUUCUCCUGUUUCUUUUUUCUCAUCUGGAUUGUGGAUACAUUUCACUAGCACCAUUUCUUCUCACUUGGGCCUUAGGAGGGCCUUAGCCAAAUUCCAGCCGGUGCCUCCCUCUACCAGUGAUGGCCAUGUGAUCUGAGACAUUCUCCUCCAUCUUCCUUUUGUGACAUAGGAAGGUAGAAUUCCGUAUGAUGUACGAAUUCCAUAGUUUUGACCUCCCAAAUACUCGUCUCUCUUUCCUCCUCUCUGCAAAUGUUGACUUUCAAUCUUCUUUUCUCAUCAUUACUGUUAUCAUUCUGUUUGCCGGAAUCUCUUUGCUGUCUGGUGUGCUGUGUUCCACAUCUGGACCCCUGCAAGAGCUGCUUCAUCGGUCUGUCCAAAGCAUAUGACAUGGUCUUAGAAAAAUACCUCAAUACACCCAUGAGUCAUAAAGAAAUUCUUCAGGUUAUCCAAAGAGAAGGACUAAAAGAAAUCAGGUGCUUUUCUUAUUGUUGCGAUUAGAAAAGGGACACCAAAGGAUCGGGUACUGACAAUUUCCUGAUUUCUCCAACAUUUUUUACAGCCCCCAUGUGCUCCCAGCGCCAGGCCUUCUCCAAUCCGCAGCCUUGGAAACUGCUGUCCAAGAGGAGAAAUGGACCAGGAGCAGACCCCUGGACUUUGGAGAGCUCUGCUGCCCGACAGCCCAUGGUGAUGUCAGAGGGUCAGAAGUGCCCACAGGAGCGGCCCAGAUCCAGAUUUGCCUCCAGCCUGACUCUGUCCCUGGAACAGAACACAGAGGAAAGACCUCAAGUUUCUUCCAAAGACACCUCAGGGGCCAGCCUGGCUAGUCUCAGCCAGCAUGACUCAGUCUCAACAGCCUGCUUCCUCUAGGGGUUGCCAGAGAUGCAACCCCAGGAGCCCUGUUAGAGCCCACAGAUCCCACACAAGACCAGGAACCAGGCACACCCUGGGAAGUCAACAUGCUUUGUUUAAUUCCUCCCUGAGUUUACCUGUCCCUGGGCCUCUGGGCUAAUUGAAAUAGCUGGCUCUGGAGCUCCAGCAGUGGGCUGGACAGAGCUGGCUGGGGUCCAGGCACUUGGGGAGCUUAUUCCUUCUGUAGGAUUUGACAGCAGGGUGAGCAGCCUCUUUCCUUAGUCUUUGGUUCCUGUAUAUUAUUUCCUCACCAAUUCUUCCUCUGUCAGGGUGAGGGUGGAGGUCUGGGCCCACACUGUCUGUCUCUUGGGCCAUUUGCCAAAGCUAGAAGAUAAGGGGAUGGGGCAGGUAGGGAAGGGUCUGUCUGGUAGGAUGGUGAGGAAGGAGCUGGGCCAAGGAGAGAGAACCAGGCAGUCCUUCCUCCAGGAAAUCUGGAGGGGCUCCCAGCGCCACAGACCUGAGCCCUGUCCAUAUGCACCUGCCUGUGCGUGUGGCUAUCUAGCCAAUACCAGAUAGCGAUAUAGAUAAGAAUAUGGUUAAGAUAUGAAUAUAAUCUGGUCACAGAGGCCUUUAGUCCUGGCUACUUGGGAGGUUCAGGUGGGAGGAUCACUUGAGCCCAGGAGUUCAAGUCCAGCCUGGGCAACAUGGUGAGAGCAUGUCUAAAACAAGGUAUAGAUAUAGACAGAUUUAGGUACAGAUACAGAUAUACAUUUACACGAAGACAGAGAUUUAGUAGUGUAGAUAGAUUUAGGCUUAGAGACAUACAGAUAUAGACACAGGCAUGGAGACAGCUAUCUGCUGGGGAGAACACAGAUGGAAAAGCACCCUCUAGACUCUGAUGCCUUUCCUCAGAUUCUCUCCCAUCCUCUAAGCCAAUAGUUCCGAAAUCUACAAAGCUUUUCUUUUUCUUUUUCUUUUCAAAUGGCCAACUUGACUGGACAAGCCUUUAUCCCAAGUGCAGCAGGUGUCAUAGAAGUUUACAGGGACUCAAAUAAGGAAACAGAAGCUAUCCCCCACACCCAGGAGAACAAGACUGAGUUCUCAGAGAUCGCAUAACAAAGCAGACACUUUCCUUACACACUACCUCCUGUCGCCUCUGCCCUUUCCUGCUACCUGUCCUUUCAUUCCAUGCCUUGUCUCUCCCAACCAGAGGUCCCCAUUGUCGCCUCCGCAGACCCUUCCUGGGUCUCACCCCAGUCUCACUUACGGGUUGGGAUGCUUGGACAACUGGUGACCCCACCAGGGGAAGAGCCAGGAGCAGCAGCGGGGCAGCUGAACAGACCAUGGCUCAGUGAAGCCUUCCCUGCAAGCCCAUGAUGCAAAUUUCUGCAGGGAAGAGCUGUCGGGGCAGUGUGCAGAUGGGA
This is an RNA transcript of Callithrix jacchus (white-tufted-ear marmoset), 6133 nucleotides long. It is a transcript of the gene named glucokinase regulatory protein, with no coding region annotated. NCBI's taxonomy places the organism in Eukaryota, Metazoa, Chordata, Mammalia, Primates, Cebidae. The record is from RefSeq and is a predicted model, not a curated record.